UACGUAGGGGGCUAGCGUUAUCCGGAAUUACUGGGCGUAAAGGGUGCGUAGGUGGUUUCUUAAGUCAGAGGUGAAAGGCUACGGCUCAACCGUAGUAAGCCUUUGAAACUGGGUGCCUUGAGUGGGCGAGAAGUACGCGGAAUGCGUGGUGUAGCGGUGAAAUGCAUAGAUAUCACGCAGAACUCCGAUUGCGAAGGCAGCGUACCGGCGCCCUACUGACGCUGAAGCACGAAGGCGUGGGUAUCGAACAGG
Molecule: ribosomal RNA, 252 nt
Filed under: uncultured bacterium
Lineage: Bacteria
Description: partial 16S ribosomal RNA
Rfam family: Bacterial small subunit ribosomal RNA
Source: RNAcentral